This 1146-nucleotide long non-coding RNA is filed under the name Parus major (Great Tit). RNAcentral's name for it is "lncRNA (ENSPMJG00000010919.1)". The record is from RNAcentral. Lineage: Eukaryota; Metazoa; Chordata; Aves; Passeriformes; Paridae.
GGUAAUCCAUGAGAUUUUUGAUAAAAAGAUGCUAUAUUUGAGGCCCUGUAAGAGACUAAAUGGAUUUUAAAGCCAAGAAAUCAAGAUAAAGAGACUUUCAAGAAGGUUGAAAUGAAAUAAUGUGCAGUGGUGGUGGAGGCUUCACAGCUUUGCCAAUGUCGUUCAGAACUGUUCUAUCCAUACCACCAGAUGUCUCAUCUUUUUAAUUUCAUGGCUGUGAUUAUUAUUGAUGCUACACAUGCAUAUACAGAAAGAAGGACAACUGGAAAACAUAAUUGGUUUGAUUAUUUGUUCCAAGGAACAUUUAUUAGACAGAUGACAUGUAUUUGGCCUCAACAUACAAGGCAAACACUAGUUAUUUAUGAAGUCACCAAGGUCCAUGUGUGGCCCAGCAAUGGAACCUCUUCAUCUCCACUAUUUUUGGUGAACCUUUUUUUGUACUUCCUUAGGCUUUUGUUAACACUAUUUUGUUACUUACAUAUAAGAAAAUGUAUAAUUAUACAUUUAUAUCCUUCCAUCAUUCUUUCAUAGGAAUGCUGACUUUCUGCCUCCUCCUCUCAGAUGAGUGAUUAUGUCUGUCAUCUUCAUAAUUUCAUUUAAUCUGUAUUGUAUUUCCUCAUUCUGAAGUCCUUCCCAUCUCACUCUCAUGACAACAGUUUUCUUCUUCUAAUUUUCUUAGCUUUCUUAAAGCCAAAAGGUCUAAAAUUAAAUGGCUGAAUGCAUUAGUACUUGGCUGCAUAUCUUAAUUUGUGCUUAAUAUAUAUGCAUAAACAUAUAACUCAUAAAGUUUCUCAUAAUUCCAUAUAUAUCAUACUAUUUUUUAGUUUUCAUAUAUAUAUAUAUAUAUAUAUAAAUUUACACAUAUAUACAUAAACACAUGCUUUUAUGCUCUUGGCCUUACUUGGCUUUUUUCUUCUUGCUUUUCAAAAAAUUAGUGUCUUAUUCAUUCAUUCUUUCACUUAAAAUUUGGAUUUCAUGAACAAACUACUCUAUGUCUCUUUUAGACAGUGAAAAAACUGAGAAUGAAUUAGAAAUUCACAUUCUUUUUCCCAUAAACCUAUUUACUGUCAAAUACUAAAAAUGAAAAUCUAGUUUAUUAAUUAAGUGUUUUCAUACACCUUUGAAAUAAAAUGUAGUGUGAUUUCA